CCAGACUCCUACGGGAGGCAGCAGUGAGGAAUAUUGGUCAAUGGGCGGAAGCCUGAACCAGCCAAGUCGCGUGAGGGAAUAAGGCCCUACGGGUCGUAAACCUCUUUUGCCGGGGAGCAAGGGCGGGGACGUGUCCCGGCCCGGAGAGUACCCGGAGAAAAAGCAUCGGCUAACUCCGUGCCAGCAGCCGCGGUAAUACGGAGGAUGCGAGCGUUAUCCGGAUUUACUGGGUGUAAAGGGAGCGUAGACGGCAUAGCAAGUCUGAAGUGAAAGCCCGUGGCUCAACCGCGGAACUGCUUUGGAAACUGUUAAGCUCGAGUACUGGAGAGGCAAGCGGAAUUCCUAGUGUAGCGGUGAAAUGCGUAGAUAUUAGGAGGAACACCAGUGGCGAAGGCGGCUUGCUGGACAGCAACUGACGCUGAGGCGCGAAAGCGUGGGGAGCAAACAGGAUUAGAUACCCCGGUA
RNAcentral lists this ribosomal RNA (465 nucleotides) under uncultured bacterium. Its description in RNAcentral is "partial 16S ribosomal RNA". It matches the Rfam family "Bacterial small subunit ribosomal RNA", at positions 331 to 792 of the family's 1533-position model. The record is from RNAcentral.